GAUGAAGAACGCAGCGAAAUGCGAUAAGUAAUGUGAAUUGCAGAAUUCAGUGAAUCAUCGAGUCUUUGAACGCACAUUGCGCCCCCUGGUAUUCCGGGGGGCAUGCCUGUCCGAGCGUCAUUGCCGCCCUCAAGCACGGCUUGUGUGUUGGGCCCCCGCCCCCCGGCUUCGGGGGGCGGGCCCGAAAGGCAGCGGCGGCACCGCGUCCGGUCCUCGGGCGUAUGGGGCUUCGUCACCCGCUCUGUAGGCCCGGCCGGCGCCCGCCGGCGACCCCAAUCAAUCUUUCCAGGUUGACCUCGGAUCAGGUAGGGAUACCCGCUGAACUUAAGCAUAUCAAUAAGCGGAGGA
RNAcentral lists this unclassified non-coding RNA (348 nucleotides) under soil metagenome. Its description in RNAcentral is "partial contains 5.8S ribosomal RNA, internal transcribed spacer 2, and large subunit ribosomal RNA". The stretch from base 1 to 120 matches the Rfam family "5.8S ribosomal RNA", at positions 35 to 154 of the family's 154-position model. The record is from RNAcentral.